This 810-nucleotide ribosomal RNA is filed under the name uncultured bacterium. Its description in RNAcentral is "bacterial SSU rRNA". It matches the Rfam family "Bacterial small subunit ribosomal RNA", at positions 8 to 807 of the family's 1533-position model. The record is from RNAcentral.
AGAGUUUGCUUCUGGCUCAGGAUGAACGCUGGCGGCGUGCUUAACACAUGCAAGUCGAACGGAGUUUUAUCAAUUGAUCGAUCUAGCUUGCUUUUGAGAGAUUUUGAUAAAACUUAGUGGCGGACGGGUGAGUAACGCGUGGGUAACCUGCCGUAUACAGGGGGACAACAGUUGGAAACGACUGCUAAUACCGCAUAAGCGCACGGUACCGCAUGGUACAGUGUGAAAAACUCCGGUGGUAUACGAUGGACCCGCGUCUGAUUAGCUGGUUGGUGAGGUAACGGCCCACCAAGGCGACGAUCAGUAGCCGGCCUGAGAGGGUGGACGGCCACAUUGGGACUGAGACACGGCCCAAACUCCUACGGGAGGCAGCAGUGGGGAAUAUUGCACAAUGGGGGAAACCCUGAUGCAGCGACGCCGCGUGAGUGAAGAAGUAUUUCGGUAUGUAAAGCUCUAUCAGCAGGGAAGAAAAUGACGGUACCUGACUAAGAAGCCCCGGCUAACUACGUGCCAGCAGCCGCGGUAAUACGUAGGGGGCAAGCGUUAUCCGGAUUUACUGGGUGUAAAGGGAGCGUAGACGGGACAGCAAGUUGGAUGUGAAAUACCGAGGCUCAACCACGGUACUGCAUCCAAAACUGUUGUUCUUGAGUGAAGUAGAGGUAGGCGGAAUUCCGAGUGUAGCGGUGAAAUGCGUAGAUAUUCGGAGGAACACCAGUGGCGAAGGCGGCCUACUGGGCUUUAACUGACGCUGAGGCUCGAAAGUGUGGGGAGCAAACAGGAUUAGAUACCCUGGUAGUCCACACUGUAAAC